Molecule: ribosomal RNA, 496 nt
Filed under: uncultured bacterium
Lineage: Bacteria
Description: partial 16S ribosomal RNA
Rfam family: Bacterial small subunit ribosomal RNA
Source: RNAcentral
GAUGAACGCUGGCGGCGUGCCUAAUACAUGCAAGUCGAGCGAACAGACGAGGAGCUUGCUCCUCUGACGUUAGCGGCGGACGGGUGAGUAACACGUGGAUAACCUACCUAUAAGACUGGGAUAACUUCGGGAAACCGGAGCUAAUACCGGAUAAUAUAUUGAACCGCAUGAUUCAAUAGUGAAAGACGGUUUUGCUGUCACUUAUAGAUGGAUCCGCGCCGCAUUAGCUAGUUGGUAAGGUAACGGCUUACCAAGGCAACGAUGCGUAGCCGACCUGAGAGGGUGAUCGGCCACACUGGAACUGAGACACGGUCCAGACUCCUACGGGAGGCAGCAGUAGGGAAUCUUCCGCAAUGGGCGAAAGCCUGACGGAGCAACGCCGCGUGAGUGAUGAAGGUCUUCGGAUCGUAAAACUCUGUUAUUAGGGAAGAACAAAUGUGUAAGUAACGAUGCACGUCUUGACGGUACCUAAGCAGAAAGCCACGGCUAACUACGU